AGCGGCGGAUGGGUGAGUAACACGUGGGGAACCUGCCCCUAAGUCUGGGAUACCAUUUGGAAACAGGUGCUAAUACCGGAUAAUAAAGCAGAUCGCAUGAUCAGCUUUUGAAAGGCGGCGUAAGCUGUCGCUAAGGGAUGGCCCCGCGGUGCAUUAGCUAGUUGGUAAGGUAACGGCUUACCAAGGCGACGAUGCAUAGCCGAGUUGAGAGACUGAUCGGCCACGUUGGGACUGAGACACGGCCCAAACUCCUACGGGAGGCAGCAGUAGGGAAUCUUCCACAAUGGACGCAAGUCUGAUGGAGCAACGCCGCGUGAGUGAAGAAGGUUUUCGGAUCGUAAAGCUCUGUUGUUGGUGAAGAAGGAUAGAGGUAGUAACUGGCCUUUAUUUGACGGUAAUCAACCAGAAAGUCACGGCUAACUACGUGCCAGCAGCCGCGGUAAUACGUAGGUGGCAAGCGUUGUCCGGAUUUAUUGGGCGUAAAGCGAGCGCAGGCGGAAAAAUAAGUCUAAUGUGAAAGCCCUCGGCUUAACCGAGGAACUGCAUCGGAAACUGUUUUUCUUGAGUGCAGAAGAGGAGAGUGGAACUCCAUGUGUAGCGGUGGAAUGCGUAGAUAUAUGGAAGAACACCAGUGGCGAAGGCGGCUCUCUGGUCUGCAACUGACGCUGAGGCUCGAAAGCAUGGGUAGCGAACAGGAUUAGGUACCCUGGUAGUCCAUGCCGUAAACGAUGAGUGCUAAGUGU
Molecule: ribosomal RNA, 743 nt
Filed under: uncultured bacterium
Lineage: Bacteria
Description: bacterial SSU rRNA
Rfam family: Bacterial small subunit ribosomal RNA
Source: RNAcentral